UUGUAGUUGUAGCAGAUGUUGUCGUGGUAACAGGUGUUGUAGUGGUGGCAGGUGUUGUCGUGGUAACAGGUGUUGUAGUUGUAACAGGUGUUGUAGUUAUAGCAGGUGUUGUCGUGGUAACAGGUGUGGUCGUCAUGGUAACAAUGAGUAAAGUACUGCUAGUAGUCGUAGUCAUAGUAGGACUCGUAGUGGUUGUAGUAAGGGGAGUGGUAGUGGCAGCCGUGGUGGAGAUGGGAGUUGUAGUUCUUGUAGUCCU
This is a long non-coding RNA of Labrus mixtus (cuckoo wrasse), 256 nucleotides long. RefSeq lists it as uncharacterized. The transcript has 3 exons. The record is from RefSeq and is a predicted model, not a curated record. Lineage: Eukaryota; Metazoa; Chordata; Actinopteri; Labriformes; Labridae.